This 72-nucleotide transfer RNA is filed under the name Ictidomys tridecemlineatus (thirteen-lined ground squirrel). RNAcentral describes it as "Spermophilus tridecemlineatus (thirteen-lined ground squirrel) tRNA". It matches the Rfam family "tRNA". From Rfam's summary of the family: Transfer RNA (tRNA) molecules are approximately 80 nucleotides in length. Their secondary structure includes four short double-helical elements and three loops (D, anti-codon, and T loops). The record is from Rfam by way of RNAcentral. Lineage: Eukaryota; Metazoa; Chordata; Mammalia; Rodentia; Sciuridae.
UGGGUUGUAGCUCAGUGGUACAGUGCUUAACUGGCAUGUAUGAGGCACUGGGUUCAAUCCUCAGCAUCACAU